AGAACUGUGAGGCGACGUAAAGCACGGAGAUGCGCAGAAAACAGUGGUGCUGACACGCAGAAAUCUGGAGGCGUGUCGCGUUUUUUUUGUUUGUUUAUUUUGUAUUUUCUUUAAUAAAGCUUAAUUAAGAUUAAAGUUAUUUUAGGUUUUAGUUAUUUUAGUCACUGUAUGCUUUAUCUCUGAUUUGUCUUUGGUUGGGCCUUCAUUGCUUCGUGUAGCUCGUCUCACGCGUUGCUGUUUUGAGUCGACAGCGUUUUGACAGUCGCUCUCACCGUGUCGCAAGUAGCGUUUGGUUAGCCAUCGAGCUAGUCCCCCGUGAAUUGCUAGCUACCGUUAUUAGUAACGGGUAAAGCCAUUCGGAGGGGUGGUUGACGAGAGGUAGCUAACGUUAGCGAGCAAAACCGCAUAUCUGCAUUUCGUCAAUGGGCUCAUGAUAACAGGUGUUGUAGCUAACGUUAGGUAGUCGAAUGAGCAGCUGUGACCUGACACCUGGUUGACAGCUACAGACGGAAGAAAAGGCUAAACCUGCUUGCUGCGUAUUGUUGUCAGUGUGAGCUGUCCAUAUUAAACAGUCGGGAACUCGGCACCGGCAGCUGUUCGCCUGUCUGUGUACAAAGCAAAGCAGUCGGCACCGUUCGCUGCCUUUCGACUCGAAACAACCCCCUCGUCAAAAAAUAAGAAGCUUUCAUCUAGAGAAGACUCACUCUCUUAACGGUAGGCAAGUUGAGAACAAGUUCUCAUUUACAACUGCGACCUGGAGAUGGCCUUGAUCUGAAGCAUUUCAGAGGAUUCUCAAUGAAUUGUGAAUAAAAGCAGUACAAAACAACAACAUUACCACUCACUCAUUGUUUUGAUGUUGGGUAAACAUCACCAACAACAAUGCAACAGGAUACUUAGUCUUCUGGUCUCAGUGUUGAGGAGUUGUGAACUACAUCUAAUUCAACUAGUAAUAUAACUAUACUGAACAAUUUUUUUUUUUAAAUACAACAAUUUCAAAGAUUUUUCUGACUUACAGUUCAUAGCAGUAAAUUGAAAUAAAGUAAUUAGGCACUCAUCUAUGGAUUUCACAUGACUGGGCAGGGAUGCAGCCAUGGGUGGGCCUAUGCCCUCCCACCCAGUGGGGAGCCAGGCCCAGCCAAUCAGAAUGAGUUUUUCCCACAAAAUAACUUUAUUACAGACAGAAACACUCAGACGAGGCUGCAGGUGAAUUGGCUGGAUGUGGAGGUUCCGGUGCUGGCGUGGUCUGUGGUUGUGAGGCCGUUUGGACAUACUGCCAAUUUCUCUAUAACGACGUUGAAGGCAUCUUAUGGUAGAGAAAUGAACAUUAAAUUCUCUGGCAACCACUCUGGUGGAUAUUCCUGCAGUCAGCAUGCCAGCAUACAUUGUUCCUGUACCCAAGAAGGCAAAGAUAACUGAACUAAAUGACUAUCGCCCCGUAGCACUCACUUCUGUCAUCACGAAGUGCUUUGAGAGGCUAGUCAAGGAUCGUAUCACCGCCACCCUAGACCUACUUCAGUUUGCAUACUGCCCCAACAGGUCCACAGAUGAAGCAAUCGCCAUCACACUGCCCACUGCCCUAUCCCAUCUGGACAAAAGGAAUCAAAUCAAAAUCAAAUCAAAUCAAAUGUAUUUAUAUAGCCCUUCGUACAUCAGCUGAUAUCUCAAAGUGCUGUACAGAAACCCAGCCUAAAACCCCAAACAGCAAGCAAUGCAGGUGUAGAAGCACGGUGGCUAGGAAAAACUCCCUAGAAAGGCCAAAACCUAGGAAGAAACCUAGAGAGGAACCAGGCUAUGUGGGGUGGCCAGUCCUCUUCUGGCUGUGCCGGGUGGAGAUUAUAACAGAACAUGGCCAAGAUGUUCAAAUGUUCAUAAAUGACCAGCAUGGUCGAAUAAUAAUAAGGCAGAACAGUUGAAACUGGAGCAGCAGCACAGUCAGGUGGAAGUUGAAACUGGAGCAGCAGCAUGGCCAGGUGGACUGGGGACAGCAAGGAAUACCUAUUUAAGAAUGCUGUUAAUUGACUACAGCUCAGCAUUCAACACCAUAGUACCCUUCAAGUUCAUCAUCAAGCUGGAGGCCCUGGAUCUGAACCCCGCCCUGUGCAAACUGGGUCGUGGACUUGCUGACGGGCUGCCCCUAGGUGGUGAAGGUAGGAAACAACAUCUCCACUUUACUGACCCUCAACACAGGAGCCCCACAAGGGUGUGUGCUCAGCCCUCUCCUGUACUCCCUGUUCCACCCAUGACUGCCUGGCCAUGCACGCCUCCAACUCAAUCAUCAAGUUUGCAGAUGACACAGCAGUAGUGGGCUUGAUUACCAACAACGACGAGACAGCCUACAGGGAGGAGGUGAGGGCACUCGGAGUGUGGUGUCAGGAAAACAACCUCUCACUCAACACCAAUAAAAUAAAGAUGAUCGUGGACUUCAUGAAACAGCAGAGGGAGCAGCCCUGCAUCCACAUUGAAGGGUCAGCAGUGGAAAAGGUGGAAAGUUUUAAGUUCCUGGGUGUACACAUCACAGUCAAACUGAAAUGGUCCACCCACGCAGACAGUGUGGUGAACCUCAGGAUUGCUGAAGAAAUGUGGCUUGUCACCCAAAACCCUGACAAUUUUACAGAUGCACAAUCGAGUGCAUCCUGUCGGGCUGCAUCACCAGCACGGCAACUGCUCCGCCCACAACCGUAAGGCUCUCCAGAGGGUAGUGAGGUCUGCACAAAGCAUCCCUGGGGGCAAACUACCUGCCCUUCAUCAUACUGCGCCCAAUGUCACAGGAAGGCCAAAAACAUCAUCAAGGACAACAACCAUCCGAGCCACUGCCUGUUCACACCACUAUCAUCCAGAAGGCGAGGUCAGUACAGGUGCAUCAAAGCGGGGACCGAGAGAUUUGAGAAACAGCUUCUAUCUCAAGGCCAUCAGACUGUUAAACAGCCACCACUAACACAGAGAGGCUGCUGCCUACAUUGAGACCCAAUCACUAGUCACUUUAAACAACGGCACUUUAAAU
Long non-coding RNA from Oncorhynchus tshawytscha (Chinook salmon), 3001 nucleotides. Lineage: Eukaryota; Metazoa; Chordata; Actinopteri; Salmoniformes; Salmonidae. The record is from Ensembl.